UCUCCGUUGGUGAACCAGCGGAGGGAUCAUUACAGAGGUGCAAAUCUUCCCCACCUUUGUGAACGUUACCUACCCCGUCGACCCGGCGGGUGGCACGGGCUACUCCCCUGUCGGCCCUCCGCCCCCCGUGGGGGCCCCCCGGAGGGAACCCAAACCCGUGAACUCCAUGGCCGCUAUGAGUCUACUGUUCUGAAUAAGUCAAAAGUUUAAACAACGCACCUCUUGGUUCUUGCAUCGAGCAAGAACGCAGCAGAUCGGAAGAGCUAACGGCAGAACUCC
This 279-nucleotide unclassified non-coding RNA is filed under the name plant metagenome. RNAcentral's name for it is "partial contains small subunit ribosomal RNA, internal transcribed spacer 1, and 5.8S ribosomal RNA". The record is from RNAcentral.